GGGUGCUUGAGGCUUUCUGGUCUCAGGCGAAAGCAGGAGUUCAGAAAGACGAAAGCCCCGAUUGACGUUUAAAUCAACCGAGGCCAACGCAUGAAUCCCACAAUUCAGAUGUUAGCCUCUUACCAGCCGAAAGGCAAGGAGCUAACCAUGAAA
This is a non-coding RNA of Erwinia tracheiphila, 153 nucleotides long. NCBI's taxonomy places the organism in Bacteria, Pseudomonadati, Pseudomonadota, Gammaproteobacteria, Enterobacterales, Erwiniaceae. The record is from Rfam.